GGGGAGUUUCCCGAGUGGUCAAAGGGGGCAGACUGUAAAUCUGUUGGCUCAGCCUUCGAAAGUUCAAAUCUUUCACUCCCCA
RNAcentral lists this transfer RNA (82 nucleotides) under Treponema sp. RNAcentral's name for it is "tRNA-Tyr". It matches the Rfam family "tRNA". Rfam says of the family: Transfer RNA (tRNA) molecules are approximately 80 nucleotides in length. Their secondary structure includes four short double-helical elements and three loops (D, anti-codon, and T loops). Further hydrogen bonds mediate the characteristic L-shaped molecular structure. tRNAs have two regions of fundamental functional importance: the anti-codon, which is responsible for specific mRNA codon recognition, and the 3' end, to which the tRNAs corresponding amino acid is attached (by aminoacyl-tRNA synthetases). tRNAs cope with the degeneracy of the genetic code in two manners: having more than one tRNA (with a specific anti-codon) for a particular amino acid; and 'wobble' base-pairing, i.e. permitting non-standard base-pairing at the 3rd anti-codon position. Lineage: Bacteria; Pseudomonadati; Spirochaetota; Spirochaetia; Treponematales; Treponemataceae. The record is from RNAcentral.